AGUGAACGCUGGCGGUAGGCCUAACACAUGCAAGUCGAACGGCAGCACAGUAAGAGCUUGCUCUUACGGGUGGCGAGUGGCGGGCGGGUGAGGCAUACAUCGGAAUCUACCUUUUCGUGGGGGAUAACGUAGGGACACUUACGCUAAUACCGCAUACGACCUACGGGUGAAAGCAGUGGAUCUUCGGACCUUGCGCGAUUGAAUGAGACGAUGUCGGAUUAGCUAGUUGGCGGGGUAAAGGCCCACCAAGGCGACGAUCCGUAGCUGGUCUGAGAGGAUGAUCAGCCACACUGGAACUGAGACACGGUCCAGACUCCUACGGGAGGCAGCAGUGGGGAAUAUUGGACAAUGGGCGCAAGCCUGAUCCAGCCAUACCGCGUGAGUGAAGAAGGCCUUCGGGUUGUAAAGCCCUUUUGUUGGGAAAGAAGAGCAGCAGGUUAAUACCCCGCUGUUCUGACGGUACCCAAAGAAUAAGCACCGGCUAACUUCGUG
RNAcentral lists this ribosomal RNA (492 nucleotides) under uncultured bacterium. RNAcentral's name for it is "partial 16S ribosomal RNA". It matches the Rfam family "Bacterial small subunit ribosomal RNA", at positions 29 to 507 of the family's 1533-position model. The record is from RNAcentral.